Molecule: ribosomal RNA, 442 nt
Filed under: uncultured bacterium
Lineage: Bacteria
Description: partial 16S ribosomal RNA
Rfam family: Bacterial small subunit ribosomal RNA
Source: RNAcentral
CCUACGGGCGGCAGCAGUAGGGAAUAUUGCGCAAUGGGCGCAAGCCUGACGCAGCAACGCCGCGUGGAGGAAGAAGGCUUUCGGAUUGUAAACUUCUUUUGUUAGGGAAGAGCAUGAGACUGUACCUCUUGAAUAAGCCACCGCUAACUACGUGCCAGCAGCCGCGGUAAUACGUAGGUGGCAAGCGUUUUCCGGAUUUACUGGGUGUAAAGGGCGUGCAGCCGGGAAGACAAGUCAGAUGUGAAAUCCCGCGGCUUAACCGCGGAACUGCAUUUGAAACUGUUUUUCUUGAGUACCGGAGAGGUGAUUGGAAUUCUUUGUGUAGCGGUGAAAUGCGUAGAGAUAAGGAAGAACACCAGUGGCGAAGGCGGAUGACUGGACGGCAACUGACGGUGAGGCGCGAAAGCGUGGGGAGCAAACAGGAUUAGAUACCCUUGUAGUC